RNAcentral lists this ribosomal RNA (466 nucleotides) under uncultured Dietzia sp. Its description in RNAcentral is "bacterial SSU rRNA". It matches the Rfam family "Bacterial small subunit ribosomal RNA", at positions 9 to 493 of the family's 1533-position model. The record is from RNAcentral. Lineage: Bacteria; Bacillati; Actinomycetota; Actinomycetes; Mycobacteriales; Dietziaceae.
GAUUUUGAUCCUGGCUCAGGACGAACGCUGGGGGCGUGCUUAACACAUGCAAGUCGAACGGUAAGGCCCCUUCGGGGGUACACGAGUGGCGAACGGGUGAGUAACACGUGGGUAAUCUGCCCUGCACUUCGGGAUAAGCCUGGGAAACUGGGUCUAAUACCGGAUAUGAACUCCUGCCGCAUGGUGGGGGUUGGAAAGUUUUUCGGUGCAGGAUGAGCCCGCGGCCUAUCAGCUUGUUGGUGGGGUAAUGGCCUACCAAGGCGACGACGGGUAGCCGGCCUGAGAGGGUGAUCGGCCACACUGGGACUGAGACACGGCCCAGACUCCUACGGGAGGCAGCAGUGGGGAAUAUUGCACAAUGGGCGAAAGCCUGAUGCAGCGACGCCGCGUGGGGGAUGACGGUCUUCGGAUUGUAAACCCCUUUCAGCAGGGACGAAGCGCAAGUGACGUACCUGCAGAGAAGCCC